CGUUGUCUCCAUGAAGGAAACUUGCGGUCUGUCAGGACACGUCUGCAUCGUCGUCUUGGCUGCCUCCCCGCUCUUCAGCACAGUCACUUUGGGGAAAUGUUUCCCAGGAAAGCCACGAGAGCCCGUUCCGAAGAUCGGCUAUAAGAUAUAAGGUGUAAGAGGAAAACCUGAGAGAUGGAAGAGAGAACUGUCCAAUUGGAAAGACAAGGCAUUUCACAGGAGAGAGGAAAGAAGAAGAAGAAAUUCCAAAGGUAGUCUCAAGAGCCGUGGGGAUGCUUGAUACUGAGCACCUCUUACACGUUCCUGUGUGCCCACCAAGCCUGCUGAGGACUACUGAAUGCUUCAAAAGAAAGAUAGGACACUCCAAGCCUUGGGCAAAAUCUUUGCUGCAAAUUUAAUGGAUGGCUGUUAUUGCAACUACAUUGUGUCUCCAAUCUCAGCUGCUGGAGUAGGGGUGCAGACACCAAAGCCAAGAAAAAACAGACAAGAAGUGGAGUUUCCAGUUCAGGAGGUGAGACCAUUAAGAAGAGACUUUGCCAAGCCCAGUCAUUCUCCUUUAAACUACACUGUAGAGAAGAGCCAGGCUGUCUACUGAACUCUGAUUUUGGGGGCUUCUAGUUAAAAUGCUCUUUUGCCUGGGGCUAGGGUCAUAAGAGUCAGAAUGGGAGGCAAAUUAGGCUUAAAAUCAUGUUUUCACCAGUGUUUAAUAAAAAAUGUGAAUGUUCUCUCAGAGGAUGUUUGUAACUCAUCAGUUAGCCUAGCUUGAAACUAUGAAUGAUAAAUAAUUUAGUAGAUAUGCUACAACAAGGAUUAUAAACAUGCAAAGUGAUAUUAACAGUGUCUGAUAAAGGGAAACACUCAGAUGAGCUCUGCCUUUGAUUUUGGAAGCUGAGAUUUUUUUAAAUGCUCAUGCUUCUACAAAGGCAUAAACCCCUGCUAUGUUCAAUGUCUGCCAGUACCAUACUGUGGUUUCUUAAAUAAAGAAAUAACAACAAAGAUGAAGAAGGAUUGCUGAAGCUUUGCUCAGUAAAAACCAAUUGUAAACCAAGAAAACACAAAGAAAUUAAUCCAUAAGCUUUUUAUUUCUUCUGAUCUAAGACUGCUGUAACUGAUGGCCUGAUUUAUACCCUCAAACUUAUAUACAUUUGUUUAUCCAAGCUACAAACUUGAUUGUCUGCUUCAGAGCUGACUUGAAGCUAACCUUAAAGCUGCUUAAUAAAGCUUAGUAAUAAAACUCAGUCAAAUGUUACUGUGUUAUUAAAACAGUCUCUGCAUCUUGAGUUAUCCUUUCAUGCUAAAUACUUUUACAAAAUCAUUGAACCAAAAAUAUUAGGUGAAACUGACCGCCAAUCCAUAACCUGCUAGGACUGUACCCUUGCUGAGGAAAAAGUGAAAAUGCAGGCUACUUUUCUGUGCUUUGCAACUUACUGAAAUAUACCUUAAAAGCAAAUAUAUGAAAGAGAUAGAUAUAUCUUUUACAUAUGGGAUUGCAGAUGUAUCAAAGGGAAUAUGAUAACUUGUUGAAUAUCAAACUAUAUUAAAAGACACAGAUGUGUGGGAACUGAUGAAAACAUGACAUUAAGGAUGUGCUAGCAUUUCCAUUUACUUACAGCCCUCCCAUUAAAAGUGCCCUGAGCAUGGUAUAUAUUUAGCUACAGUUCCUCUUUCAGUCACUUCAAAGUGGAGGAGAAUCUGGGUGUAAACAGCCUCAAAAAACGACUUCACCAAGAGAAUUUCCUGUUUCUCAGAUAUGCUUUUCUCACUGCAUUUUGUUUCAUGAUACCCAAAAUUCCUUUUGAAAAUACACUUUCUAGAUCUUAGUGCUCUCAAGAACUGCCUCAAGCAUUCUCUUGCAUGAAAAUGAGGAUUCCUAGUUUGUGGUCCUGGUAGAAGUACGUAACUACUUGGCUAACAUUUUGAGGUGCAUCUAAUGAUUGCACUAUGCAACUAAGGAGGACACAAUUAAUUUAAUACUUGGACUUUUUCCAUAGCAUGCCAUUUCCUAGGGCAACCAAUGUUAGUCUAAUCCUCAAGAGGAAUUUUGCAACUUCCAAACUUCAGGCUAUUCUGCAUUACACCAAUAGCCCCUGACUAAGGCAUUUUUUGGGCA
Molecule: long non-coding RNA, 2110 nt
Organism: Melozone crissalis (California towhee)
Lineage: Eukaryota; Metazoa; Chordata; Aves; Passeriformes; Passerellidae
Exons: 4
Source: RefSeq, a predicted model, not a curated record